Molecule: long non-coding RNA, 214 nt
Filed under: Phoenix dactylifera (date palm)
Lineage: Eukaryota; Viridiplantae; Streptophyta; Magnoliopsida; Arecales; Arecaceae
Description: long non-coding RNA (PDAC_LNC011059)
Source: RNAcentral
UUGACCCGUGUUCUUUGAUUCAGAAGAUAAGACCACUGUUUGAACUCGAACUAUGAAUGACGGAGUACCUUUGCCAAGAGCGGAAGGUUCCUCAGUUCUUUUUCAUUUCGAAAUGAAUUUUCAUUUCGUUAUUCAUCUUUUAUAUUUAUGUGGUCGAAGCACCACUACACCAGGUGGUAAUAAAUUGAGUGUAUCGUUCGCAGCAUUCAUUCCU